Molecule: long non-coding RNA, 4283 nt
Filed under: Ailuropoda melanoleuca (giant panda)
Lineage: Eukaryota; Metazoa; Chordata; Mammalia; Carnivora; Ursidae
Description: lncRNA (ENSAMEG00000027155.1)
Source: RNAcentral
UAAAGAUCUAAUUUUUACCAAUUUAAAUCAGGCACUGGUAACCUAUUUCAGCAAUUUUUUUUUCCUAGAAUACUCUCCAUCCCCCACUUAGAGAAAAUUAACAUAAUUGCACAUUUUCUUUGUCUUUUCUUUCUCUUUUUGUAAACAGCAAGCCAGGCUGUUAACCCUUCAGGACCCGAGAACAUAGGUCAGCUUCAUCACAAGAGCCCCGAGGCAGUGGUUAGGAAUCAGAACGUGCUUUAUCCCAGCCACUGAAUGCAAAGGGUUGCCUUCUGCUGGAAGCUACAAGGGCUGUGGUGGUGGUGGCAGUGGUAGCAGUGUGGAAGGGAGAGGUUUUCCUCACCCUACCUUAAUAUAGCUUCACUAUAUCUUCUUACUGGGAGCAAGGACUAAACCUCAGUUAUGAAAAGUAAAAAAGAAAAUAAAAGAAAAGAAGAGCAUGAGACAAGACCUUCGUCACCAUUUCUUUUUGAAGCAAGAGACACGUUCUCUAGUUCGCCAGUCAAUGCCUGGAUACACUGUAUGGAGAGCAGUAUUUCAGGGCUGAAUCCUUUUCCCGACCACAUUACCCACUUUGCUUUGGAUCUUCUGGAGAUAACUAUACCAAACUCUCGUCAGUUCCUACAAGAACUGGUUGCCACUCUCAACCUAAUAACACAUCUAGCUCUAGAUAAGUUGUUCACUGAAAAAAGGCAUGUGUUUUUUUGCUGUAGCUCUGGGCAAAAUCUUUAAGUGGUUACACUUUAUGUGUUAGAUUGCUGGCCAAGCAUUUGAAUUAUGCUACGUAAUGCAACAGGCCAUUUCAGCUGGGGUCCAGACAUUCCUAAUAUAAACACAACCACCGACACCUGGAAAAUAUUUGCUCUCAUUGAUGUGCCUGGGGGCCAUAGUUCAGUAACUGGGUUUGGGGCAGGCAAGAGGGAUGAUGAAGAUGAAAACAUACACUGAGCCUCUUCAGGACAGGUUUUGAACCCCAAGAACUACAGAAAAUUUUUUUCAUGAAGAAGCAGCCCUGAUUUGGAACCUAGACAUCAAAGAGGAGCACAGAAUUGAGGAGGCCCAUUUUCUCCACCUCUGCAUGGAAUCCAGCAUUGUUCCAGCACAUAAGAUUGAAGACUUCAGGAACAUUGAAAGAUAGCAUUCUCGGUAUAUUCUUGUUCAAGUGUUUCACAGACUUCCUCAGCAGAGACAGUGAUAAAAAUUUCAUCCAGCUGCUUGCUGGCAAUAAAUGUUGACAAAUGAUAACUGGAACUUUCCAGGAAAAAUACUAUGAAUCCCCCAAGAGGGCCAGGACUGAGAUAUCUGUAAGACUCUGCCAAAUCCCCUCACACAGUAAGCACUCAGUACAUAUUAACUGCAUGAAUGAAUUAAUUAAUGGUACCAUAUAGUGAUGAAAACUGAAUGAUUUGUGAGUAUGGGGAAGGCACUUGUUUGGGGAAUCCUAGAAAUAACCAGGAUCAUUUUGGAACAACAGAGCUCCUGUUUAAAAAGGAUAGAAUUUGGAUCCUUUGUAAUUUAUGAAUAGCUAUAGUAUGAUCUCCAGGCUGGUAAAGACAGGUGAAAAUUGGGUUAGGAUUAUUUUCUGAACCACAACUGCUGAAAUAACUUUUAUUAAACAGAUGAUUAUAGGCUUCCCCCCACCAGGAAUAAUAUCAUUUCUAAAAUUGGGCAGUAUCCAUGAUGGUAGUCCUGAUUAGAUUUUUUCAUAGGCAGUAGGAUCUGUGACUCCAAACUGAAAUUACCCUGCUUUCAGAAAUGUAAAUAUGCUUAAGCGACAGUUCUGUGGACACAAUAUAGCGUGCUUCAUGUUUUUGUCCUCCCUCUGGAUUAGUUGACACCGAAGUCAAAUUCAGGACAACUUGUGAGUAUGAGGGCUUAGAUAUAAAGUCUUGGAUGAGUCACAGCAUCUGUUAAACCCUAACAAGCUCCCUUCUAAUUCUCAGACCUGAUUUAUCACAGAACUUGCUGUUUGCAUUUUGAGAUUUAUUUCCAGACCAGGUCUCUGAUAAGGAGGAGAAGGAAGGAAAGAAAGGUAAAUCUGUUUGGCUUUUAAGGUUAGGCAGUCAAUUUGCCAGCUGAGCUUAAAUAACCUUUAACUUCUCCUAAUUAGAAAUUUUCAGAGAACCUGGCUCUCCCCAGGAUGCCAAUUUGCUAGAGAAUCUGCUUACACCUUCCUUGUGAGAAGUCAAUUUGAAGCCUUAACCACCAAAAACAACAAAAUUUUCAUCUCCAUGAAAUAAGUUAUCCUCCAUUGUUUGCCAGACUCAUUGUGAGGUUGAAGUUUUCAAUUUGACUUAAUUUUAAACUCAUUCAUCUUAAUUAAUGGACACCUUUUUCAAACACAUCUGUUCUCCUACAAAUAGGUCAAACUUCCAUAUGCCCAUAAGGAAAGACAGUCACAGAGAUGUUUUUUUUUCUCUCACCAGUGUCAGAAGGUGACUCUUUUAACGCUAAUUUCCAGAUAAAUGUUUUAAAAAUAUUUAAACUUUGCUACUCUCUUAGUAUCUGGUAAUGACCGUUAUAUUGAAUUCAAGUUAACAUUCCAUUGAAUAUUGGUUGUAAUAAACUAAUUAUGUAUCUUCUAACAAUAAAAUGGAAAGCAAAGGGACAUUUCAGCUAGUAUUAAAAAACUUGAGAGUCUGGAGGUUAAGAUGGCGGAGGAGUAGGGGACACCUUUUUCAGCCGGUCCCCUGAGUUGAGCUGGAUAGGUACCAGACCAGCAGGAAUAUCCACGGAAUCAGCCUGAGACGCAGGAAGAUACAUCUGGAUCUCUACAAAUGAACAUCUCCAGCGCUGAGUAUCGAGGUACGAAGCGGGGAGCCGUGAAACCGCGCACAGAUAUCGGAAGCUAAACAGAAGGGGGAGGGAGCCGCCGUGUCAGGGCGCCGGGAAGCGGUAGCCACCUGCAAGGGGGAGUGGACAGACCGCGGACCCGCACGCUUGAGACAGCAGGCUGAGAAGGGAGCUCCGGGAGCGUACGCGAGAAGGCUGGCGGUUGGCGGGCCACCUGCACGGGGGAGCAGGCAGACUCGCGGACGGCACCCGCGAGACAACAGACUUAGAACGCGAACUCCAGGAGCGCGCGCAGGGCGGCUGGCGGGCCACCUGCACCGGGGAGCGGGCGGACCGCGGACCCGCACUCUGGAAACGGCAGACUGAGUCCGUGAGCCGGGAGCGUGCACCACCAAGCAUCUCACGGAGCUCCGGAGCUCCGGUGUGCUCACUGGAUCGAGGCUGAGACCGGGAGCUCCGGGAGCGUCCGCGGGGCGGCUGGCGGCUGGAGGGCCACCUGCACGGGGGAGCAGGCGGACUCGCGGUCAGCACCCGUGAGACACCAGACUGAGACGGGGAGCUCCGGGAGCCCGCGCGGGGCGGCUGGCGGCGGGCGGGGUUGGAAACACAAAGGACAGAGACGUGCCGGCCCUGGAAGUGAGGGCUGGGACGCCGGGUGUGGGGCGCACAGCCCGGGAUGCUGCAGGGUUGAGCAGCACCAACAGAAACAGAGUUAAAGUGGCCAGAACAUCAGUGGAGAACGAUCCGCGAUCCCUCUGUUCUGAGACAGAGGCUGAAUUUCAGCCGCUGCUGCUCUCUCAGAAGAGGCAUAGCAAACCGCCAGGGAAAGCCGCCAGAGAACAAAAGCCCGGAAAUACCGGCUCACAGGGUGCCCAUCCCCAUCCCCCCUCGCAAGGGACACAGAGACUCUACCCAAACAGGGUUUUCUGAGUACCUGCAGGCAGGCCCCUCCCCCAGAAGGCAGGCUGAAAAAUCAAGAAGCCCACAACCCGGAGCGCCUGAGUGGCGCAGUCACCAAGCACCUGUCUUCGGAUUAGGGUGUGAUCACAACGCUCCGUAAGGAGUCCUUCAUCGGGCUUCUCCACCGGGAACCUGCUUCUUCCUCUCCCACUCCUCUGCUUGGGUUCCCUUUCUUGCUGACUGUCUCUCUCUCUCUCAAAUAAAUAAAUAAACUCUUUAAGGAAGAAGCCCACAUCCCUAAGAUCUCUAUAAAACAAGGGCGCACGGCCUGGGUCCCAGUCAACACUUGGGCUCUGGACAACCCUGCAAUCUCUCUUCAUCAGAAUGACGAGAAGGAGAAGUCCCCCCCAGCAAAGAAAAGAUAAUGAGUCUGUGGCCUCUGCCACAGAAUUGGCCUCGGCCACAGAAUUAAUACAUAUGGAUGUAUCCCAAUUAUCAGAAAUGGAAUUCAGAGCAACAAUGGUCAAGAUGAUGAGUAAACUUGAAAAAAGCAUCAGAGAAAGCGUUGCUGAGAAUAUAGAAUCCCUAAG